Impatiens glandulifera is the source of this 1621-nucleotide long non-coding RNA. RefSeq lists it as uncharacterized. NCBI's taxonomy places the organism in Eukaryota, Viridiplantae, Streptophyta, Magnoliopsida, Ericales, Balsaminaceae. The record is from RefSeq and is a predicted model, not a curated record. The transcript has 6 exons.
UGUAGAUAACAUACUGUCGAAAAAUAUGUAGAAACCCUUAAUAAUAUUCUCUUAACUUUCAUUCGCGAACUGUUUUACCCUGUAAUUUCUUCUCUUUCACACAGAGGAUGCAUCAUCGUCUUCCUUGCUUCUCUAUCAGAUUUAGGUUAAUAUCGUUUUGUUCCAGAAUCUUCCGCCACCACCGCUGAUGAAUAUCUCAUUGAAAUUGUCGUUGGCUUCAACAACAUUGACGCUGUAACUGAUGGUCGCGAAUGAAAGUUAAGAGAAUGAAAUGUUCCCCUUCAAGCAAGAGUUCUCAUUCGGUAAUGGUUGAAAGAUAUUCAAAGACUGAUCUACCUGAGAUGGAGAAGAAGAAGUAAGUUCUCUGAUUGUAUUUGAAUAAAUUACUGACAUGAUAUCAUCGAUUUCUUUUUUAGUUAGUUAGCCAAACCAUGGAAAUCAAAUCCAUAUACAUUCUGCAAGCUUAGACAUAAUUCAAUCUCUUUAAAUAUGCAUUCACCUGAUCAAUGAUCAUCAAUGUUAGGCUGGAAGGCAUAAGCUAAUACCCAUUUUAGUUAUUGGGUUGCUGCAAGUUCUUACUAUCAAACUUGAAAUCACUGUUUGUUAUUUGAGAGUUUGUUCUAUUCUGAUCUGAUGAUGUUUUCUCAAUCUGUGAUCGAAUUGAGAAAAGGUAUAUGUCUGUUGGAUUGUUUAUUCACAUUCUGCAAGUUCUUACUAUCAAACUUGAAAUCACUGUUUGUUACUUCAUACUUGAGAGUUCUAACCUCUUGCUUAUUUCUGUCAAAGUCGACCUCGUUCUCUUCAUUUUCUACUAGGAAAAUCUCUAUAAGCUUGAGGAAAUUCUCAAUUGUGACGGCGGUUGGUAAGGGGAAGAAGAAAUCCGAUUCUCAUAGCUUCGUCUCCAGACCAGAUGAAGCUGCCGGUUUUUUUCCGAAGCUCUUUUGCUCAAAGAGAAGAAAGUUCAUGAAGAUGGAACAAUUCUCCCUAAAUUCGCAGAUGAUGAUGAAAGAGAACUUUUUAAACAACUAAAUCUUUAGCUGGAAAGUGAUCUUGGACUGAAGAGCACUCUUGGAGAAGAUAGUAACAUUUCGUUUCUCACAUCGAAAAUAGUUAUUCUUUCCCCCUCGAAUGAAGACUCUUUAAGGUAGACUUUAUAAUUGCAUUUGCAUGUUCAAUUAGACAAACUCUACUUCGUUUUGUUCUUCUUGCUUCAUGUUGAUAAUGGUGGUUGUACAGAUUAGUGGACCAUGUUCUUUUACUUCUCAAGGACUUCGUUUUGUUCUUCUUGCUUCAUGUUGAUAAUGGUGGUUGUACAGAUUAGUGGACCAUGUUCUUUUACUUCUCAAGGACUGAAGUUUGUCUUUCCACUAUGUAGAACAAAUUAAUCUCAAGUUUUCAGUUUUGAAACUUAAUACAUGAUCUUGUCUGAUAACUAUGCUCAAAAUUGAGGUAAGUUGGGACAAGGAAAUAUUGUAGCUUCGAGUUUAGUUCUUUCGUCGUUGAUAUGUGCUUAAAGGAUCGAAGUAUUGAUGAGUCACGUUAUUUGAUAUAUAAGACUUAUUAUAAAAUAUGUUUUAGUUUUAAUGACUUUGAAUUUACAAUUUAAUUUGAAUGUAUUUAG